GGCGGCGUGCCUAACACAUGCAAGUCGAACGGGCUAGUGCUUCGCACUAGUCUCUUUCUGGGGUUGCUACUCUAAGGCUACCUGCUAAAGUUAUUGCUUUAAAGCGAGGGGUUUUAGGGGACCGUUCCCCAAAAGGGGCCAGUGCGGAGCACUGGCCAGUGGCGAACGGGUGAGUAACACGUGGGUAAUCUGCCCUCGAGUGGGGAAUAAGCUCCCGAAAGGGGGUCUAAUACCGCAUGACGUUUCAUAACGAUGGUUAUGAAACCAAAGCCCAAAAGGCGCUUGAGGAGGAGCCUGCGUCCUAUCAGCUUGUUGGCAGGGUAAUGGCCUACCAAGGCAACGAUGGGUAGCCGGCCUGAGAGGGUGUACGGCCACACUGGGACUGAGACACGGCCCAGACUCCUACGGGGGGGCAGCAGUAGGGAAUUUUCGGCAAUGGGCGAAAGCCUGACCGAGCGACGCCGCGUGAGGGACGAAGGCCUUCGGGUUGUAAACCUCUGUCUGGGGGGAUGAGAACGGACGGUACCCCCGGAGGAAGCCCCGGCUAACUACGUG
RNAcentral lists this ribosomal RNA (555 nucleotides) under uncultured bacterium. RNAcentral describes it as "bacterial SSU rRNA". It matches the Rfam family "Bacterial small subunit ribosomal RNA", at positions 38 to 507 of the family's 1533-position model. The record is from RNAcentral.